AGUGAACGCUGGCGGUAGGCCUAACACAUGCAAGUCGAACGGCAGCACAGUAAGAGCUUGCUCUUACGGGUGGCGAGUGGCGGACGGGUGAGGAAUACAUCGGAAUCUACUUUUUCGUGGGGGAUACCGUGGGAAACUUUCCGCUACUACCUAAUACAUCCUACGGGUUAAGGCAGGGGUUCUUCGCACUUUGGGCGUUUCAUGUAGCUGAUGUCGGAUUAGCUAGUUGGCGGGGUAAAGGCCCACCAAGGCGACGAUCCGUAGCUGGUCUGAGAGGAUGAUCAGCCACACUGGAACUGAGACACGGUCCAGACUCCUACGGGAGGCAGCAGUGGGGAAUAUUGGACAAUGGGCGCAAGCCUGAUCCAGCCAUACCGCGUGGGUGAAGAAGGCCUUCGGGUUGUAAAGCCCUUUUGUUGGGAAAGAAAAGCAGCAGGUUAAUACCCCGCUGUUCUGACGGUACCCAAAGAAUAAGCACCGGCUAACUUCGUG
This 492-nucleotide ribosomal RNA is filed under the name uncultured bacterium. RNAcentral's name for it is "partial 16S ribosomal RNA". It matches the Rfam family "Bacterial small subunit ribosomal RNA", at positions 29 to 507 of the family's 1533-position model. The record is from RNAcentral.